Molecule: long non-coding RNA, 1258 nt
Organism: Apis laboriosa (Himalayan honeybee)
Lineage: Eukaryota; Metazoa; Arthropoda; Insecta; Hymenoptera; Apidae
Exons: 4
Source: RefSeq, a predicted model, not a curated record
CCAACAAAUGUGCGCGAAGUUCUUUCGCGAAAUUCGUUCGAAAUGGUUCCGGAUUGUUCCCUUGGCAAACGUCGCAUUCGUAAAUCGUCUUGCCUGGAUGCAGAUUCGUCGACAAUACGUGUUUCCUAAGAUUCUCCUGAAACAGAAACGAAAAAAUGACAGUGUUAGUCGAACGAAUGAACGAGUAUAGAUGGCGGUAUAGCACAGGAGAAGAAAAAGCAAGGCCUUCGGUUGCGAUGAGAGAAAAGAUAUCAAAGACGUCAUUGUGAAUAACUUUUUCUUAUAACUUGAUCGACAAUCUCUUAUAAUUUUUGAGAUAUUUGAAAGAAAAGAUCGUUAUCGUGUUAAAUAUUAAUUUGUUCAACGUAUACCUAAGAAGUUAGAUUAGGUUAAGUCAACACGAGACUGCCAUUUAUCAAUUAUUAUACGUACUCACAGUGACCAAAAUGUAUAACAGAUAUCUCUGGACGCAUCGUGGAUAGAAGAUCCGAAUCGAAUCGUAGUUGGAUGUCAACCAAGCGAGAAAGGAUUGUGCGUGAACGAGAGCGUAAGAAAAUGCGGAGAAAAAGGAAGAGGACGGAGACCACCUAGAAGAAGAGAAAAUUAAGGAGCAAUAAUGGGGAAAAAAAAAAAAGAGAGAUGCAUAGAAACGUGAAACAGAUGCGAGAAUAAGAUUGCCUUCGUUGUCACGGUGAAAUGGAGUAAGUUUUCCUAACUCUAGGAGGAGUGAAGAGAAUGACAUGCCGGACGACAGAACAAAAAGCUGUGUACGAGCAUGGAUGACAAGAGGAAAGAAGGAGCGUGUAGCCAUCCGAGGUAAAUCAUAAACUGGAUGGAUGUAGGAAGGAAGGAAGGAAAGGUGGCACGUGUAAUCUCGUUGACGCAAGGCAACCCACUCGUGGAAGAAGGAAAUUGUUGAAGCUAUUCGCACGUUCCUUAUUAAAAGUUUCGUCGAGUAAACGACCAUAUUGCUUCUGGACUAUUCUUAUGUUGAUUUGACAAUUAAUCUUUGAUUGAGAAUGGAUGUAAUUGUUUGCGAAUACAUUUGAGACUAAAUCAUAUUAAGAGAAUUAUUUUUCACUAAUGAAUACUAUGUUAAGAGCGAAAGUUAUUACUUGGAAAAAGCUUUUACUUUGCUUUUAAUUUCAAAUGUAUAUGCAUUUUAAAACUUGUUCAACGUUCAUAUGAUUUCAUAUCUUUCUUGAAAACUGAUCUCAGAAAUUUUAUCGAUGCAUGCAAUAAUACAUCAAAUGAACGU